Molecule: non-coding RNA, 230 nt
Organism: Pelobates cultripes (western spadefoot toad)
Lineage: Eukaryota; Metazoa; Chordata; Amphibia; Anura; Pelobatidae
Source: the annotation of a GenBank genome assembly
CCUCUGUCCUUCAGUUCUAUCCUGUCACCCUCUUUUCUAGGAGAUCCAUAUUGUUAGUGUGUCUGAGUGUAUAACACAGCCCCUUUCCACCGGAUUAUAAAGGAUUAUACAGAUUACACAGCUAGUAUUAUUAUUAAAUUAUUAGUAAAACACAAAAAUUGUCUCAGAAUGGCCUUGCCCCUGGCCACGCUCCCACUCGCACCCCUUAACUUAGUGAUUUGCUUUUAGAG